Mandrillus leucophaeus (drill) is the source of this 1075-nucleotide non-coding RNA. NCBI's taxonomy places the organism in Eukaryota, Metazoa, Chordata, Mammalia, Primates, Cercopithecidae. The record is from the annotation of a RefSeq genome assembly.
AAGGUUGUAGAUUCUGGCUGAUGAUGUCACUGACACAAAGAAAAAAAAAAUGCAAAACAGAUAGUCUUAAAUAAGCUUUCUGGUGAGACCAACUGCAUUUUGGCCAUGGCUCUGCAGAGCACUCUGGGGACAGUGUGGCUGGGACUUCUCCUCAACUCUCUCUGGAAUGUUGCAGAAAGCAAGGACCAAGUGUUUCAGCCUUCCACAGUGGCAUCUUCGGAGGGAGCCACGGUGGAAAUCUUCUGUAAUCACUCUGUGUCCAAUGCUUACAACUUCUUCUGGUACCUUCACUUCCCGGGAUGUGCACCAAGACUCCUUGUUAAGGGCUCAAAGCCUUCUCAGCAGGGACGAUACAACAUGACCUAUGAACGAUUCUCUUCAUCGCUACUCAUCCUCCAGGUGCGGGAGGCAGAUGCUGCUGUUUACUACUGUGCUGUGGAGGACACAGAGGCAGGGAACCCAUGAAGAGCUGAACAGAAACAGAGAUCACAGCCUUUGCAGGAGGCAAAACAGAUGAGCAAUAACUUUUUCUUCCUUAAUUCAGUGUUACCCAAGCUUUUUCAUUUGAUACUGCUAUUAGGAAAAAAAAUCGAGUCCAGACACACACUAUAUAUUAACAAAUGUCUAUAAAAAUAUGCUUUUAAUUUUUUUUUGAGAUAGGAUCUUGCUCUGUCACCCACGCUGGAGUGCAGUGGCAUGAUCAUAGCUCAUUGUAGCCUUGAACUCCAGGGCUCAAGGGUAGCUGGGACUCAGCCUUCUGAGUAGGUGAGACUAUAGGCAUGUGCCACCAUGCCCAGUGAAUUUUCCUCCUUUUUGUAGACAUGAGUUCUCUCUGUGUUGUCCAGACUGGUCUCAAACUCCUGGCUUCAAGUGAUCCUCCUGCUUCGGCCUCCAAAAGUGUUAGAAUUACGGGUGUGAGUCAAUGCACCCAGCCCAGAAAAUAUGCUUUUAAAUGGUGAUUAUUUCAAACAGUCUUCUUGAUAUCUGAAACACUUUUGACUCAUUUUUUUGAGAUCUGAUUAGAUUAUUUUUGCUUUUCCCUCAUAAAAUGACUGAUGAUGAACUUGCGAUAGUA